This is a long non-coding RNA of Microcebus murinus (gray mouse lemur), 259 nucleotides long. RefSeq lists it as uncharacterized. Lineage: Eukaryota; Metazoa; Chordata; Mammalia; Primates; Cheirogaleidae. The record is from RefSeq and is a predicted model, not a curated record.
CGAGCCGUGUGUCAGUAUGGGAUAGUUAGGGGAGCUUCUGAGGAGCGGUUAGGCAGAGAUCUGAAGGUGGAGAAGGAACCCAUGAAGGACAUUUGGAAGAAAGAGAACAUGGAUGCAAUGAUGAUCACAGUUUCCUUGUUUGGCACACGAAGGGACUCGGUAAGGCACACCGAGAACUUGAAAAGGCAACUCUCUGACAGUGAAAACUACAUCGGCAUUACAAAAAUAGGAGGAACAAGACAUCACGAUCUCCUCUGGC